Daphnia pulex (common water flea) is the source of this 845-nucleotide long non-coding RNA. RefSeq lists it as uncharacterized. NCBI's taxonomy places the organism in Eukaryota, Metazoa, Arthropoda, Branchiopoda, Diplostraca, Daphniidae. The transcript has 2 exons. The record is from RefSeq and is a predicted model, not a curated record.
CCUUUUUCACAAUGCGGAAAGUCGGGAUUUUACAAUCCGGCAACGCCGCAAUCGGCCAUCUUUGUUCUAAUUAAUUUUUCCCCGUGUAAAUUCCCAUAAGGAAUCGGGGUCCCUUUAGUUUAAAUUCAUUUUUAAUUUAUUGGUGCCUUAAAUAAAAUUUAUUUCUCAUUGAUCGUGUUCCCAGAUGAAUUAGUAACAUUUUCAUGUAUGAUUUGUUGUGUGUUUGCCGUUUGGCUGCGGUAACAGAUACAAUGUUUAUGAAUCUGUUAUGUAAGUUUUGCAUCCCAAAAGUGAAUGUUAUUGGACAUCCAAAAUAUGUGGUAAAAAUUCCCUCAAAAGUAUUUGGGGUUAACUAGUUUAAAAUUUACUUAUUCAACUGCUUUAACAUUUAGUUCCCUAAUCUGACGAAGCGUUCACUAUGAUUAGGCUAUCUGAUUCAUUAUCGUUAUUUAUUUAUCACUUUAAGAAUACACACGAUUCUUUUUUCUAGAGAAACAUUUGUAUUAAACGAGGUGAAAAGAAGUUUUUAAUACAGAUACUGAACAUGUGACACUGUUUCAACUAGUAAUUGUCUUUUCAUUUUUCAAUACUUUUAUUCGAGGAACCAAUGCCUAGUUUUCUAAUGCAAGAGCUGUGUUGCAGGUAGAUGGAUGCUGCUCGUUUGUUGAUUCACCAAUUUGUUGAUGUGUCUAUCAAAGGUGUUCUGCAUUGGGUAUAUCCAGCGGUAUCUUUCAUGAAAUCAGUUACUGCAUCUUUUGGAACUGUCUAUGGGAAAAAAUGAUGAAAUAUGUUAAGCAAUGUUUUAUAAAUGACAUAAUCAAUAUAAAUAAUAUACCAUCCUCUUA